This is a long non-coding RNA of Xenopus laevis (African clawed frog), 2166 nucleotides long. RefSeq lists it as uncharacterized. The transcript is spliced from 4 exons. Lineage: Eukaryota; Metazoa; Chordata; Amphibia; Anura; Pipidae. The record is from RefSeq and is a predicted model, not a curated record.
UGUUUAAAAUACAUUUUAAAACAACAGUUACAACUUUUAAAGAUAAUCCCAUUUUAAAAAAUAAAAUUUGCCUGUAUGUACUCUUUCUCUAACUAAUUAUCCUCUACGCCUGCUAGUAAAUUGUCGAUGUCCCUGCAGAUGGUAUUUCUGGUGCAUUUUCACUAGCGGCGGCGACUUUAGUAAAUCUGCCCCAUGGAGUUAGAGGGAAGAAGACAGAAGGUGAAUUUCAGAAUUAUGCGUCCCAUAAAGGAAGGAUUUUUUUCUCGGCAUGGACAGUAGCUGCCAUCUUGCAGAAGGCUAACAUUCUAUUCUACUAUUUUCUCUAGUCGGCCCUCCUGUCAGUGCAAACUUGUGGGUUAAUGUCAAUCUCAUCUCUCCCCUGGUAUAUAAGUUGUGGCUCCACCUCCCAUUGCCAGUUCUUUGUCCUGCCUUGGAGGUGAAGGACAGAUUUUAUAAGUGUAUUACAUUCUUUUUCUUAUUUUAUUAUCUGGAUCACUUUCAUUUUACAGAACAAAGGCACAACACCUAGAGGACACGCAGAGCUGUCCAUCAGGUGUGCACAGCAGGCGAACUGCAGAAUCUGCCCAGGAAGGGCACAGAUUAGGGUACGCAGAGCUACUGGCUGCAUUCCAGAACUGCUGUUGCAGAGGCAAUACAUGGCACACAGAGCUGUCAGAUGGCACAAACUUUAGAGUACGCAGAGCUACCCGCUGCAUUCAAGGGUUGAUGCUGAGCCUCAGCACAAUGAGAGAUCAUUCUUUUUGCAGUGCGUUGUGCAGCAAGUGGAUUCACCUAAAGAUAUCAGCCCUGGAUGGAACAGAGAGCAUUCAGAGUCUUGUCAUCCAUUCAGCUGGAUGAAACCCUGUACCGCCCCUUUUCCUAACGUCAUGCAGAUGCCUGCCUAUAUAUUCUUCCAGCAGCACAGCCCUCUCCAGUGCACCGGCCAGCACCCAGCUUUAUUCUUGCCAGCCACUAAAAUAAGCCGCACAUCUACUCUGAAACUCCUGCAAGGCACACAAACAACCUUGUAGUUGUUUUUAGUGAGCAGAACCUAAAGUUCAACUUCUUCAAUGUUGAGGAUGGAAGCAAUUAAUGGGACCAUGGCAAGCCCAGCUGUCAGCUUGUCUGUGGAUCACCCAAGAAAAAUGAGCAGUGGGAAUGACAGCCAUGAGUACUUCUACAUUCUGAUUGUUAUGUCUUUCUAUGGAAUAUUUCUUAUGGGGAUCAUUCUGGUCCACAUGAAAACGAAAAGGAGUGACAAAGAAUACAACUUAUUGCUUCUCUGUAGUGAUGAGGAGAGACAGUGGUAGAAAGACCACCCCUGUUUUGUCAAUACCUAUAUCUCUACAGGCUUCCAGCAUGUUCAGUGCCAUCCAAGAAAACAUGGGCCCUGCUUUCUCCUUUGCUGCCUACAGUAUGGAAGCCAGUAGUCUCAGCUCUGAGUCUUCAACAUCUGAUGUCCACUUAACUAUCCAAGAGGAAUCUCCAGAAGGACUUCUCCAGGAUGUGCCAGAGGUUUAGAAGGAUGAUGACAAACAACAGAUUUCCUAGCAACCUUUCAUGUCUGGACAUAUAGGAAUCUCUAGUAUGUCGAGAUGGGAGACCUAGAUCUCAUGUUGUGUGAUGAGUCUUGUCCUGUGAUGGUCCUGGCAGCUGCAGCACAUACACAACCAUGAGUGCAUGGGAAGAGGAAUAAAAAUAUCUUCCUUUCACCUCUGCUCCCAUUUCCCACAGAUUAUAGAAGACCAUAAAAAGGACAUUUGCCUAAAAGGCCCAAAGGUGGUGACUCUAGGAGGAAGCAACAGACGUGCACCAUAAUCCCAACAAAGUAAUGGAAAUUCUGGCAUUUUUCUUGUUAUUUUGUUAUUCACAAUCGCUGCUUUAUGACUGUGACACCAAAUAGAACAUCUAUGCCUAGGACCUUUUGUAUUUGAAAUGUUGUUAUUUAAAUAAAUGUAUUUUAUUUUAAAAAAAUGCUUUUUUUCUCAUUUAAAAGAAUAAUUAUCAAGAAAUAUCAAUUACAUAAUUUAAUCAUACAUUACAUAGAUAUAUUAUACAGGGAUUAGUCACUGGAGUUCCAUGACCAUAUAAAACCACGAAGGCCAAGUGCAUUCAUACAGGUUAUGGAACACUGAUGAUUUCUAAUAUUCUCAUUUUACAACAGGG